GGUAGGAUGGCCGAGCGGUCGAAGGCGCUUGCUUGGAGAGCAAGUGUGGCAGAAAUGUCACCCAGGGUUCGAAUCCCUGUCCUACCGCCA
This 90-nucleotide transfer RNA is filed under the name Candidatus Falkowbacteria bacterium CG_4_10_14_0_2_um_filter_48_10. RNAcentral describes it as "tRNA-Ser". It matches the Rfam family "tRNA". Rfam says of the family: Transfer RNA (tRNA) molecules are approximately 80 nucleotides in length. RNAcentral also lists the same sequence under 1 other name. The record is from RNAcentral. Lineage: Bacteria; Candidatus Falkowiibacteriota.